This 167-nucleotide unclassified non-coding RNA is filed under the name uncultured Mortierella. Its description in RNAcentral is "sequence contains ITS1". The record is from RNAcentral. Lineage: Eukaryota; Fungi; Mortierellomycota; Mortierellomycetes; Mortierellales; Mortierellaceae.
AAAUAAAAGUGAAUUUUAUGGCACUUUUAAAAAAAUCCAUAUCCACCUUGUGUGCAAUGUAAUUUUGAAAGAGGAUUUAUUUCCUCUUUCUAAAAUCAUAUCAACUCUUUGCUUUGAACCUGUUUGUCUGAUAUAAAAAUAUUCUUGAAUAACUUAAUUCAAAAAUA